GACGAACGCUGGCGGCGCGCUUAACACAUGCAAGUCGAACGGAAAGGCCUGCUUUCCCUUGUGGAUUGCGGGUACUCGAGUGGCGAACGGGUGAGUAACACGUGAGUGAUCUGCCCCCAACUUGGGUAUAAGCCUGGGAAACUGGGUCUAAUUCCCGAUAGGACUUCAGGUUGGUGCCUGUGGUGGAAAACGAUUUUCUAGUGGUUGGGGAUGAGCUCGCGGCCUAUCAGCUUGUUGGUGGGGUAAUGGCCUACCAAGGCGGCGACGGGUAGCCUGCCUGGGAGGGUGGACGGGCACAUUGGGACUGAGAUACGGCCCAGACUCCUACGGGAGGCAGCAGUGGGGAAUAGUGCACAAUGGGCGGAAGCCUGAUGCAGCGACGCCGCGUGGGGGAUGACGGCCUUCGGGUUGUAAACUCCUUUCGACCGCGAGGAAGCCACCUGGUUGGAAGGGUGGUGACGGUAGUGGUAGAAGAAGCACCGGCUAACUACGUG
RNAcentral lists this ribosomal RNA (494 nucleotides) under uncultured bacterium. RNAcentral's name for it is "partial 16S ribosomal RNA". It matches the Rfam family "Bacterial small subunit ribosomal RNA", at positions 28 to 507 of the family's 1533-position model. The record is from RNAcentral.